This 253-nucleotide ribosomal RNA is filed under the name uncultured bacterium. Its description in RNAcentral is "partial 16S ribosomal RNA". It matches the Rfam family "Bacterial small subunit ribosomal RNA", at positions 524 to 776 of the family's 1533-position model. The record is from RNAcentral.
UACGUAGGGGGCAAGCGUUGUCCGGAAUCAUUGGGCGUAAAGCGCGUGUAGGCGGCUGGGUAAGUCCGCUCUGAAAGCCCGGGGCUCAACCCCGGGAGGCGGGUGGAUACUGCUCAGCUCGAGUCCGGAAGAGGAGUGUGGAAUUCCUGGUGUAGCGGUGAAAUGCGCAGAUAUCAGGAAGAACACCAAUGGCGAAGGCAGCUCUCUGGGACGGUACUGACGCUGAGACGCGAAAGCGUGGGGAGCGAACAGG